This is a non-coding RNA of Termitomyces sp. T32_za158, 93 nucleotides long. The record is from the annotation of a GenBank genome assembly. NCBI's taxonomy places the organism in Eukaryota, Fungi, Basidiomycota, Agaricomycetes, Agaricales, Lyophyllaceae.
GCCCCCGUUGUCUAAUGGUUAUGACGUCAGACUUCUACUCAUGUUCUUCAGGUAGGUAUCUGGAGGUUGCGGGUUCGAGUCCCGCCGGGGGUU